UGGCUGGUCUCCGAAGGUGCAAAGAAUUUAAUAAUAGGUACGGAAUUUGAGUUAUCCAUAAAGAUAAAAAUAAAAAGAUAAAAGAAUAAAAGUAUAAAAGUAUAAUACAAGAUAAUAGCAAAACUCAAAGUUAUCUCAGCAAACCGUCUUUCUCCCCGGCAAUGGCGCCAGAAAUUCUUGUUGAUAUUUGGUAACGCAAUAAGGAAAUGAUCUGCAAG
This 218-nucleotide long non-coding RNA is filed under the name Sorghum bicolor (sorghum). RNAcentral describes it as "long non-coding RNA (SBIC_LNC006682)". The record is from RNAcentral. Lineage: Eukaryota; Viridiplantae; Streptophyta; Magnoliopsida; Poales; Poaceae.